This 522-nucleotide ribosomal RNA is filed under the name Salmonella enterica subsp. enterica serovar Derby. RNAcentral describes it as "bacterial SSU rRNA". It matches the Rfam family "Bacterial small subunit ribosomal RNA", at positions 993 to 1515 of the family's 1533-position model. RNAcentral also lists the same sequence under 3 other names. Lineage: Bacteria; Pseudomonadati; Pseudomonadota; Gammaproteobacteria; Enterobacterales; Enterobacteriaceae. The record is from RNAcentral.
GAACUUUCCAGAGAUGGACUGGUGCCUUCGGGAACUGUGAGACAGGUGCUGCAUGGCUGUCGUCAGCUCGUGUUGUGAAAUGUUGGGUUAAGUCCCGCAACGAGCGCAACCCUUAUCCUUUGUUGCCAGCGAUUAGGUCGGGAACUCAAAGGAGACUGCCAGUGAUAAACUGGAGGAAGGUGGGGAUGACGUCAAGUCAUCAUGGCCCUUACGACCAGGGCUACACACGUGCUACAAUGGCGCAUACAAAGAGAAGCGACCUCGCGAGAGCAAGCGGACCUCAUAAAGUGCGUCGUAGUCCGGAUUGGAGUCUGCAACUCGACUCCAUGAAGUCGGAAUCGCUAGUAAUCGUGGAUCAGAAUGCCACGGUGAAUACGUUCCCGGGCCUUGUACACACCGCCCGUCACACCAUGGGAGUGGGUUGCAAAAGAAGUAGGUAGCUUAACCUUCGGGAGGGCGCUUACCACUUUGUGAUUCAUGACUGGGGUGAAGUCGUAACAAGGUAACCGUAGGGGAACCUGC